This is a non-coding RNA of Oryza sativa Japonica Group (Japanese rice), 483 nucleotides long. NCBI's taxonomy places the organism in Eukaryota, Viridiplantae, Streptophyta, Magnoliopsida, Poales, Poaceae. The record is from RefSeq and is a predicted model, not a curated record.
GAGGUGAGCAUCUGGAAUAGGUAGCCUGGGAAGAUGUAGUAUGCAAAGCUGCAGACGAAUGCCACCAGGAAGAACUGGUUCCGCGUCAAGCCACCUUUUCUCCGUGCUUCCUUCUCAUGAAGUGCGCUAGUAUAAGAAAUAUUUCGGUGCAGCACUGCAGCGGUUCCAACUUCCAAGUGGAACAUAUGUGGUGGUUCAGACUCUUGCAUUGCCGGUGUGGAGGUUUGAGUGGAUCAAAAUUUUGCAAGAAUUCAACUCUGGUUGGAUGGCCACCACAUAGACGCCGGCUCAACAAGAUAACGCCGGAAUAUUCCCGCCCAGCCGAACCCCAGCAUCUGAUGGCAGAAGCUAGUUUGCAUGCACCUGUGUUGUGAGGACGACAAGGAGGGAGAUGAAGAAGGAGAGGGUUUUCCCGUAGAAGACACGGACGCCGGUGAUGACGUGGAUGGCAUAGACGGUGCCGGCGCCGGAGUUGGCGAAGAU